UCCAACACCAGAGACAGAAUGAAUAUUUGGUGACAGAAGUUAGCCUUUGUGUGGCUUUUGUUUUGCUCAGGGCUCUCUUGUGACUCUUUACUGACCUAGAGUGAGGUCAAUGUUGCCGCUCUAGUGUAAUAAAUUUUCCUGCACUGGCUACCACUCCAUUAAACCAGGAGUGAUUUGUCCUCAGAGUCCAUGAAGGGACUGUGGAGAUGAAGAAUAUGCUAUGGUUGUUUUCCAGCCCACCGUGUGGUUUAACUUCUCCAAUCCAACACACUCAAGCUGAACUAUGGAACUUGAAGAAUGGAGCUCCCCACAUAGUACCAGGGACAAGCCCCUGCCUUUCUGUUGGUUUUGCACCAGAAUCUCCAUACUGCUUGUAACACUAUGAAAUGAUUCAGAAUAAUGUCA
Molecule: long non-coding RNA, 405 nt
Organism: Peromyscus eremicus (cactus mouse)
Lineage: Eukaryota; Metazoa; Chordata; Mammalia; Rodentia; Cricetidae
Exons: 2
Source: RefSeq, a predicted model, not a curated record